GCGACGCCCGGGGCCCGCGGCUGGAGGGGGAGUCGCUGCCUCACCCGCGCCUGGCGCCCGCGGCUCCCUCCGCCUCGCCGGCGUUGGCCCACCCUCUCGUAGCUCACCCCGCGAGGCUGGACAGCUCCCGGAACCCCGGAACCGGGAUCUAUUUCGGGGGCUCGGCCGCGUGGCGCCCAGGACUCUCCAGGGUCUCCCAGGAUCGCUCCCCGGAUUCGAGUCGCCCCCUCUCUCUUUCGGGAAUACCAGCUGAUGUCAGUCCGCCAGCCAAAACCAGGGAGGAGAAGCGGGAGCCGGCCCUCUGGAGUCGGGAGAAGGUCUGGGGAGUGGGGUAGAGGGGAAAGCAAAGUCCAAAUACCUUCCCUUCAGACACCUCCUGGGGCCUAGACCCCACAAACCUGUUGUGGGGAGGGCAAAAUACGAUGACUACGUUCCCAGGAAGAAGGUGCCACAGCUCUUCAGGACCACGGUUGGGAGAAAGAAGGGAGGGGUUUUAGAACCUUCAGUGUGCGACUUCAUGUGCCAGUCUUCAUCUCAGGAUCUCAAGCUCUUGGAUCAUGGGCACGGAUAACCUGUUGUCCUCCUCUAUGGUCAAGAGGCUGCUUUUGCAAAGAAUCCAGUGGGAGAGAGUCAAUGGCCUGCUUGACGUGAACUCCAAAGUCCUCCUGGCCAAGGGUCAUCCUGCCUGGAGCAGGGCAAGAGGUGACUUGACCCUUAGGAAGAGUGGCAUCUCUAAUCUUCAACUUCCACCACCACCACACACACAAAUGCAGAGCCAUCCAGGAGGAAGUAAAAAGUGCUAGGGCCUUCUACACCUUGAAAUUAUAUGUGGAGCAUCCUGCAAUAAGC
RNAcentral lists this long non-coding RNA (849 nucleotides) under Pan troglodytes (chimpanzee). RNAcentral's name for it is "lincRNA". The record is from RNAcentral. Lineage: Eukaryota; Metazoa; Chordata; Mammalia; Primates; Hominidae.